UCCACUUUACACCUGUGCACUUAAUGUAGGUCGCCCUUAAAAAAGGGGACCUAUGUCUUAUCAUCAACCCAUCGUAUGUCUCAUAAAAUGUAAUCGAUAUCCUCGCCCUAAAAAAGCGUUGAUAAACUUAUACAACUUUCAACAACGGAUCUCUUGGCUCUCGCAUCGAUGAAGAACGCAGCGAAAUGCGAUAAGUAAUGUGAAUUGCAGAUUUUCAGUGAAUCAUCGAAUCUUUGAACGCACCUUGCGCUCCUUGGUAUUCCGAGGAACAUGCCUGUUUGAGUGUCAUUAAAUUCUCAACUCCAAGGGUUUCACGACCUUUCGGAAAUUGGACUUGGAGGUGCUGGCCGCAUAUUGGUCGGCUCCUCUCAAAUGCAUCAGCGGAAUUCAACCUUUGGCUUCCGGAUGUCAGUGUGAUAAUCAUGUUGCGCUGUCGUUUGAUCCCUCAGAGUCCGCUUAUAAUGGUCUUCGGACAAAAUCAUCAUCAAAUUUGACCCCAAAUCAGGUAGGACUACCCGCUGAACUUAAGCAUA
This 533-nucleotide unclassified non-coding RNA is filed under the name uncultured Piloderma. Its description in RNAcentral is "sequence contains ITS1, 5.8S rRNA gene and ITS2". The stretch from base 134 to 288 matches the Rfam family "5.8S ribosomal RNA". Lineage: Eukaryota; Fungi; Basidiomycota; Agaricomycetes; Atheliales; Atheliaceae. The record is from RNAcentral.